Molecule: long non-coding RNA, 8567 nt
Organism: Marmota monax (woodchuck)
Lineage: Eukaryota; Metazoa; Chordata; Mammalia; Rodentia; Sciuridae
Exons: 5
Source: RefSeq, a predicted model, not a curated record
AGGUGACUGAGGCUUAGGUCCAGCGGCACAGGAGGUGGGGACACAGGUGACUGAGGCUUAGGUCCAGGGGCACAGGAGGUGAGGACAGGAGGUAUGUGGCUUCAUGGGUCUUCUUUCCUGGUUUGGCCUCCUCAGUGGGAUCGAGACAGACGUGGGUCUUCCUCCUCUCUCUGGCUGUCCUGCUCAGGUGACCUCUGAACCUGCCCUCUGAGACUCACCUCCUCUGGGGCCCUGUGUCUCUAGCCCUCUGAGGCUCCCCUCUCCUCUCUGCUGAGGAAUUUGCUGGAGGAGAGGAGCAGCUGUGGGACCUGAGGACGCAGCUGGCCUUGCUGUCUAGGGCCAGGGCUGCUGUCAGCUGGGGUGGCCUCCAGCCCUGCCCGUCCCCCAGGCCCCUGCACCUCUGCUCUGCACCCUGCAGAGGAGCAGCCUGACUGCAGGCACCAUGUCCCAGGCCGUCUGUAGGUCCUGAGCUCCUCUUGGCCACAGUGUGACGGGGACUGCCCUGUGCAGAGUGUGGAGACCCUCAGAGGAAGCCCUGGGGGGCCCUCCCUCCCUCUUCCCUGGGUGCAGUGGGAGCUGCUGUGGGAGCUGGGGUGUCUGUACCCCCACCGUUGGCCUCUGGAGGCAUACCUGUGUCACGGAUGCAGUGACCUGGGUGAUCUGCAGUUCUUGGCCUCCAGGCAAACUCCUUUGCCCUGGCCUUUGCCCUAAGCCAUGGGGACAGUGGGCCACACUGGACGCUCAGCCUACAGCACCCGGAGGGGCAGAGUGACAGCCCCAGGAGAGCCGGGUGCUGGGCCAGGCGGAGCGUCGCUCAGGGUCUGUGCAGGGACGGCUGGCUGCCAAGCCUGGCCACCACAGCCACUGUGGCCGACUCCCGCUCUCCUCCUGGGCUGGCUGCCUCUGACUCCCUUGUGAGUGGCUCCUGCAGAACGGACCCACCACACCUUCCUGAGGAUGGCACAGGGGAGAGGAGAGCAGGGAGUGCUCUGGCUCUGGGGAGGCCCCUGAGAUCCCUGGUGUGGCUGUCACCUGCCCUGUGUUGGAGGCAGCAGGUAUUCUGAAGACGAGGCCUUGGAAUGGGGCUGAGCUGGAGACUCCCUCUGCUCCACCAAGUGCCCGGGCACCGUGAUGGCCUCAGGAGGACCCGGCACAGUGUGCUUCGGCAGGCCUGGAGUGGGCAGGCCUGGAGUGCCCCUCCUGGGAGAGGCGCUGUGAGUGACAGGGGUGUCUGGGAACCAUGCUGAGCCUGAGAGCAUUUCUACCCGAGUUCCCAAGGACAGGCCUCUGAUCCCUCCUGCCAGAGUCCAGCAGAAGUGCCUGCCGUGAACCAGCCUGGGAGACUAGGCUGGCGAGGUCCGGGCACCAGAGCACACAGCUUGGCGACUGGCUGGCGGCUACUCCUUCUGCCUUCCUUGGACCCCUCCCUACAGGACAGGGAAGGGGAGAAAGUGCAAGAAUGACCUGACCCUGCAGUGGAGUUUGAGAUGGCGUCACAGAGGAUGCUCAGAUCCCCCGGAGGUUUCCUCGACUCCUCCCACUGCCCCAUCUGCCCUAGGACUCCCGGGCUGCACCCAGUUGGGGUGUCUCGGCCAGUGAGGACCACUCGCUGUCUGAUCUGUGAGCAGGGGCUGGAAUCUCUUUACUGCAGGGGGGUCCUGUGCUCUGUCUCCUGGGAGGAAUUGAUGUGCAGGACUAGCUGGAGCCAGGCAGUGGCCUGUGCUCUGUAUUUGAACAUCCCCAAGGAGUCCGCAAUCCAUUGUCAAGGGUUCUCUUCUUUUUGUCUGCUUUGGUCACCUUUUAACUACGGCUUCUAGAACGUCCUCUGGUCUGCGCUCUGCACACUGCUCCAGUCCUCGGGGUGCAUGGGCUGGGACAAGCUGGUUGCUCCUCCACCAUCUGUGGCUUCAUCAGUAACCCAUCUCCUUGGCGAGGGUGCGCACUGUCCACGAGCUCGGGCAGCCAUACUGAUGUCCUCUGGCUUGUGGUGCCGUGGGCUGAGGCCACCAGCUGCUUGUGUGGAAUAUGCACGCUGUGGGGAGACGGUGUCCUUCCAGCUGAGGCCACCUGAGGUGCAGUCCUCUCUGCCCCAGUCCCACCUGUAUGGUGGCUCCUGGCCUGGCUUCUCCAAGCCCUUCCUCCUCCUCCACUUCUGCCCUCCUGCCCUCCUCCUCCUCCUCCUGUUCCUCCUCCUCCACCACCCCUUCUUGUUCUUUCUUCUCCUCCUCCUCCGCUUCUUUCUCCACCUCUUCCUUCUCCUCCUCCUUCUCCUCCUACUAUUCUACUUCCCCUUCUCCUUCCCUUCCUCCUCCUCCACCUCUCCUUUCUCCUAUUCUUCCUUCUCCUAUUCCUGCUCCUCCUCCUCCUUCUCCUUCUUUUCCUUGUCCUCCUCCACCUCUUCUUCUUCCUUCUCUUCUCCUCCUCCUCCUUCUCUUCUUCUUCCUCCUCUUCUUCCUUCUCCUGUUCCUCCUCCUCCUCCUCCUCCUCCUCCUCCUCCUUCUUGGUAUUGGGGACUGGACCCGGGGGUGCUCGACACCUGAGCUCUACUCCAGACCUUUUUAUUUUACUUUGACACAGGGUCCCUCUAAGUCACCGAGGCAGGCCUUGAACAUGGACCUGGGUGGCUCGGGUCAUGGGCAUGGCCCCUGCCUCUUACUCUUGGAGGAGGCUUGGUGGCCUAGACACACACUCUUGUCCCCCCUCAGCAUCCUGCAGAGGCCACCUGUUGUUGUGGUGUCCAGUGUGGCUGGUGAGAGGCCCAGGUCAGCCCAUGUCCUUUGUAGAGGUGAUCUGGUGCCUUGAAUGUGCUCAGAUGAAUAAUUUCCAAAAUUAACUGCCGAAAGCCGCUGAAGAGGAAUAAUAGUUAAAAUGUCACUGAAAUCUCUACCUUGAAAUAGAGUUGGACAUUCUAUGUGUUGGGGGGAAAUGGCCGGGGCUGGGGGACGACUUUCCUGGUGUCCCUACAGCAGUCCUGUCCGGGGAUGGGCCUGAGCGAUGGCCGCUCUCCACCUGACUCUGCGUGCCACCUCUCUUCAGUCUGCAGUCUCUAAUGGGCUCUGCGUGUCCCUCAGUCACCCCCCCCCCCAAGUCUCUUUCCCUCAGGCUCAUUCCACUGUUGACCUGAAAUCUCCUUUUAAAUUUUGCUUCUUUCCAUGGCCUUGGCCAGGUCCCAUGUGCCUCUCUGUCCUGUCCUUCUUGGGCACAGCACUUGGGUUCUGGUUUUCCUCAUGGCUCCUGUCACUGCGUCACUCGCGGUGGGCCUGAAGUCACUUGUGGAGCUCUGGGGCGGUGCUUUCCUGGGAACAGGCUGUUGCUGGCUGCUUUUCCUGCUGUCUGUGAGGCUGACACAGUUCCCGUUCACGCGCAUUCCUGUUGCCUGAAGCUCACUCCUCUGGCUGGCUCUUUGUGGGACCUCCUUGGUUGGGCAGGAGAGCAGUUUGGGGGUUCCAUUCUUGCUCUGGGGUCACAGUGGACUAAGGACUGUGUCCUGGACAUGUGUCCCCAAGCGCAUCUCUGCAGGCCCAGCGGCUCUGCACCUCAGAGCCCACGGGCGACGUCUCUGUGCCUUGCUCGCUCAUCCUGAGGCCUCUGCCACACCGGCAGGUCACACCUGUGCUGGGUUCCCUGUGUUCUGUUUCCUACAUUAACGGUGUCCACUGUGGCUGGUGAGAGGAGUUCAUCCAGGGAAACCAGAGCACAUGCUGAAGGGGCGUCUCCGCCGUGUUCAUGGCCCCAACCCGGACUGAAGAAAGGAGGGAAAACAUGCCCAUGUGUCGGUGGAGGCUGCUCGGCCUCCCAGAGGUUCUGUCCUUGCAGCCCGUGAUGAACCCCAAGAGCAUCAGGCCAAAGGAAUGAGGGCAGGCACAGCACGCAGUCCCACCUGCUAGUGGAGCCUGAAGAAGAGAAGUGUGGUGCCCAGGCUGGGAGUGGGCGGAGGGUGAGGGAGGGCCCCAGAGACACACUCCAUUAGGGGCCAGGGCUCAAGGCGCUGUCUUACAACAUAGUGGCUGCAGGUGAUGACAAUGUAACUUUAUGUAUUUAUUUUUUUGUACCAGGGAUGGAACUCAGAGGAACUCAACCAGUAAACCACAUCCCCAGGCCUUUUAAUUUUUUAUUUUGAGACAGAGUCUCCCUACGUUGCUUAGAGCCUCAUUAAAAUGUUGAGCCUGUCCUUUAACUUGUGAUUCUCUGGCCUUACCUCCCUAAACUGCUGGGAUUUCAGGCAUGUGCCACAGCACCCAGCAUGUAACAUGUCCUUGAAACUCUCUAAGAGAGUAGAAUCUAAGUGUUCUUAUCACAAAGAAUAAGUAUGCAUCUAUUAAUUGGUUCAAUGUGGCCAUUGCACAAAAAUGUAUACAUCUAUAUCAUCAAAAAAUAAAUUAGUUCAAAAACAAACAAACAAAAAAAAAAAACAACCCAACUCUACAUUCUGCCUCUGCAGAGUGUUGUAGUCAGCCUUUUUGCUUCUGUGAUUAAAAAACAAAACAAAACAAACCACCCUGGCAAGGACAAUUUUAGAGCAGGAAAGUGUAUUUGGCUCAUGGUUUCAGAGGUCUUAGUCCAUAGACCACCAACACCGCAGCUCUGGGCUUGAGGAGACGCAGAACGUCAUGGCAGAAGGGCGUGGCCACCAGGAAGCAGAAAGAGCUCCUGCUCAACAGGGACAAAGUGUGACCCAAAGGCACACCCAGUGACCUAUUCCUCCAGCCACACCGUACCUGCCUGGAAGGAGGAGAAUGUGAUGUCCCCAAGGACUCCACUGGGGGGGUCCUGACGGAGGAAGACAGGAUCUCUGGAAGCAUCCGUGUCUUGGAGUGUGGAGCUGGCAGCUCGGUUGGGUUCCCCUGCAAACCUGCUGCCUGCUGUGGCCUCUGUGUCCUGGGCCUCAUUUCUCUGCUGGACAGAGACACUGCCCCCUGCCCCCUUGACAGUAAUGGAAUCGAGGGCUCGACUGGGAUUGGAACCAUCGACUCGGGUCAGUAGCAGUCACCUCAAACAGCUGAUGGGCCUGGAAAGUGACCAUGGUCCGCUGUCCCUUCUGUGGCUCUCGGGCUGGGCAGCCGCAGCCAUGGCUGGCACUGAUUCCAGACUGACUGGGCUCCUCCUUGUCUUCUCUCGGCCACACCAUCCACGACAGGAUUAGCAUGUUCUCUCCUCCUGAGGGACACAGAGACAAUGAAACUCCAGGUGGUGUUACCAAUGGAGCCCCGUGGUCAUCCCUCCAGCCCUACCACGGACCCCUCAGAGACCCACGGAUGAACGUCCUCAGUGCUGGCCUCUGGACCAGCCUGCUGCUUCCCUCUUGCCCUAGACCUUCCGCAGAAGGACAUCCUGGUGACACCAACAACGCCCCUUGUCAGCCUGAAGUAGAUAGAGUGGUCACUGAGCCAAAUCCCAACAGUGGUCGGGGUAUCCGCUAGAGCAGGGAUGAGGGAGAUGUAGAGGCCUAGGCAGCCAGGGCAAGAUGGCGAGGGAGGGGGCCGGGCAGGGUCAGGACAAGGCGCACGGAGAGGGUCUCCUGGUGAGGUCAACUUCCUGCUGGACAAAGUGCGCGUGGGCAUGCCUGGGACCCAAUCACACAGACCCCUCCCUACUCGUGCCCCUAAGUGGGGGACCUAACGAAAGAACUCAAACAGACGUGUGGACAGAGGGGACACCCAUCAAUAAUGGCCAGGAGCACGUGGACAGGGAGGAGAUAAGGGAAGGUGGAGACUCCAGAGACCAUAAGAAGAACAGGCCCCAAUUCCCCCUGGACUCCCCGGUGGGCCCUUCUCUCUGCAGAAGCCUGACUCUGCAGCUGUCGCUUGUGGCCUCUGUGUCCUGGGCCUCACUUCUCUGCUGCACAGAGACACUGACCCCUGCCCCUAGAACGUAGCAGCUAAAGGGUUAUUUUCUCAUUUUUAAGUAGUGAAAUAUAUUUUAAUGGACUGUUCUGGGUUCUUUUCUUCCGGGUGGUGAGAGAAGUUUCUGGAACAUUUGUCUCUGGACUCCUGGCUGCCUUUCCCGUGUUACUUGGCGGCUGGUGUGAUGGAAGUGGAGAUGUGGCCCUGCAGCUCUCCCCAGCCCCUGGCCACUGAGGGACACGCAGGGGGCUCUGGGGCCUCCGCAGGAGCGAGAGGGAGAGUGAGGAAAACUGGAGGCAGGGCAGAGGACAGAGGGUCAGUGUAGCCACGAGUGAGUGGGUCCCACGGGCGGCCGGUUCAGGAGACGCUACCCUCCAGGGCACCUGCCCGUCUUCCAGCCUGUGGCCAGGCUCCCCUGCCUCCAGGGACCUGCCCCUCCCAGCAGAGAGGUGCUAAUGAGCACCCCUCGGGCUCCUUUCCUGCAUGUGGUCAUUCCCACCUUUAGGCAGUGGGGUGAGAGGAGGGGGCAGGAGAGGAAAGGAAGCCUGAAUCCAGAAAAGGGCAAGACACCCCCUCCUCGGGGACAGCUCUGGACGCCCCGUCUCUGCAGGGGUCCCUCUCCCUUUCUCUUUUCUGUUUCUUCAGUGAAAUUUGCUUUUCUCUCUUGCCUUGGAGUUUCUCGGGUGUUUAAUCUCAACGUGGGGACAAGGGCUGGUUCUGACGUUUAGGACCAGUUUCAGAGCUGCACAGAAGGACUCUCAGGAGACCGUGUGCAGGGCAGCCCCAGGUUGGCACAAAGCUGCAUUUGCCCCUGUGCUGUCCUGUGCAGAACAGGAGGGAAGGAGGGCCUGGCAGGAAGGGGUGGCCGGAAGGGGGCUCUCCCGGAGCUGGCCCGGAACUUAUCUGCUUCCUGUGAGCUGAGGUGCCCAGGGGGAGGGUGGCAUCUCUUGUGCCCUAGUCUGGCUGAGCUCCAGGCUCCACGAGGGCAGGGCAUUGGGUCUCUGAACCUGGAGGGUGGGGCCAGGCUGCUCUGGGCCCACUGCCCCCACCUGCAAGCAGCACUGGCUCCUUCUCUCAGGAAGGGAGGCAGGGGAGUGGCACCUGAGUCCUGCAGGUGGAGGCCCCAGACCCUUUAGGGCGGGUGUGGGCUGUGGUGCCCAGCUGCCGUGGGCAGUUCUGGACAGAGCUCUUCUCACUGUGGUACUCCCAGCUAUAUCCACUGUGAUUCAGGGCUGCUCAGAAUCUGUUCAGGACGUCAGGCCUUUCUUGGUGAGCACCUGCACCUGGGAGCCAACGUGGCCAAACACAGUCAGCACUUCACAGUGCACCCUGACACAGCCUCUUAGCAGAUCACCUAGGCGCCCCGUGCCCACAAGCCACCCUCCUGGAUGGUGUCCCCACCGUUCUGUGGAAGGGGACAUGAGGACAAAGAGAGGGAAGGGAGAGACGCCGUCCCUGGAAACAGUGCCGGGCUCCUGAGGACCCCCCAGAUGACUGUCCUCCCUGUUCACACUCUGAGGGUUCCCCAGGAGCUCUGUGAGGAGUGGGCUCCUGUCCUCUGUGGCUUCCAGCCUGGUGGGUUGGAGCCCCUCUGCCCCCAGACAGGGCCUCUGUGGCGCGGGCAUGUGGCUUGGAAUUCGGGGCAUUCAUACCCUUUUUUGCCUUGGACACUGGGUGCCAUCCAGGGGCUGGGUGUGGCCUGCCCGCUGUAUUCUGGAGCCUGCUCUGGCUCUCCAGCUCCGACUGUAGCUGCUGAGGAGUCAGUAGCCUCCUAAGUCUAUUGGGAGAACCGGUGGAGGUGACCAGCCCAGCCCUUGUGAGUGGCAAUAGCUUUGGGACAUGGGUCUCAUCACUGUGGUAGUUGCUACUCCAUUGACACAGUGACAGAGGCCCCAACAAUAUGGUCUGUCCCCAGGGCCUGGGGUUGUCUGCCCCAUCUCCCCUGGGCCCCUCAGAGGGUUGUGCUCUGGAUGGUGAGCUGUAGGUGGGGCUGGGAGGACAUCCCCCGGAACUGACCUGAGUCCCCCUGAGGCCCAGAUCGUAGCAGGAAGGGGUUCACCUGCAGGUUGGUUCCUAAAGCAUGAUGUAGCCGGGGGGUCUGGCCACCUGGUCACCUGGGUCCCGUCCUCUGCCCUGAUGCUAGUUUCCCUGCUGUGGGGGGCGAGGGUGGAGCCUGGGGAGGGCCAGUUCCCGUGAGGCCCGUGAGCCCUGGAGCAGUCUGUGGGCCUCUGUGUUCCUGCUGCUCUCCAGGGCACUGGGCCUUGGCCCCCUCUCCGCUCAGGCCUGGCCCAGCUGUGGCCUGUCUCAGAUCACCCAGGGGCUGCAGGUGCCACCUGGCCAUGCUGGCGGCAGGGCGCACUGCCAGUCCCCUGCAGGACCCCGGCCUGGCUCUGCCCUGGGCCGUCUCCCCAUGCAGGGGCUCUGGGUUUCUCUCUCCCUCACCCCUGCUCUGACCCUCCAGCCACGCAUGGACAUGUGGACAGUUGCCUCUGCUCUAGAAUCUGGACCUCCCGCCAGAGGGGCCUAUCCUUCCCUGGCCAAGGUCAGAUCAGUGGCCUUGAGGGGGCCCAAGAAUAGAGGGGCAGCUGCCAGGCUUGGGGCUGUGGAGGGGCAUCCAACUGGCCCCAGUUUCUGCUCUGGGCAGCAUCACUGUGGUAGCUAUAGCCAGCUACACAGUCUGAUGUCCCCUGACAUUAAUUGAGCAUGGCCCCGGAGGGAGGGCUG